This 302-nucleotide long non-coding RNA is filed under the name Nicotiana benthamiana. Its description in RNAcentral is "long non-coding RNA (NBEN_LNC040214)". Lineage: Eukaryota; Viridiplantae; Streptophyta; Magnoliopsida; Solanales; Solanaceae. The record is from RNAcentral.
CUGAAUAGAAUCUAACCAAUUUCUUCUGUUUCUCCCUUCAACAUUGUAGUUUGGUUUGCAAUACCAGUUUUUACAAGAUCAACAUCCGGAUCGAACCCUUUAGAAACUGCAUUUUUGAAUUUCUAUACAGAACCCCUUCAACAUUGUAGUUUGGUUUGCAAUACCAUUUUUUACAAGAUCAACAUCCGGAUUGAACCCUUUAGAAACUGCAUUUUUGAAUUUCUAUACAGAAAAAUUCACAGAAAAUAUCAGUACAGAUGCAAAGUACUGCAAUUGUAUCAGGACAAAUAAACAACUCAGAC